AAAUUGAAGAGUUUGAUCAUGGCUCAGAUUGAACGCUGGCGGCAGGCCUAACACAUGCAAGUCGAACGGUAACAGAAAGCAGCUUGCUGCUUUGCUGACGAGUGGCGGACGGGUGAGUAAUGUCUGGGAAACUGCCUGAUGGAGGGGGAUAACUACUGGAAACGGUAGCUAAUACCGCAUAACGUCGCAAGACCAAAGAGGGGGACCUUAGGGCCUCUUGCCAUCGGAUGUGCCCAGAUGGGAUUAGCUAGUAGGUGGGGUAACGGCUCACCUAGGCGACGAUCCCUAGCUGGUCUGAGAGGAUGACCAGCCACACUGGAACUGAGACACGGUCCAGACUCCUACGGGAGGCAGCAGUGGGGAAUAUUGCACAAUGGGCGCAAGCCUGAUGCAGCCAUGCCGCGUGUAUGAAGAAGGCCUUCGGGUUGUAAAGUACUUUCAGCGGGGAGGAAGGGAGUAAAGUUAAUACCUUUGCUCAUUGACGUUACCCGCAGAAGAAGCACCGGCUAACUCCGUGCCAGCAGCCGCGGUAAUACGGAGGGUGCAAGCGUUAAUCGGAAUUACUGGGCGUAAAGCGCACGCAGGCGGUUUGUUAAGUCAGAUGUGAAAUCCCCGGGCUCAACCUGGGAACUGCAUCUGAUACUGGCAAGCUUGAGUCUCGUAGAGGGGGGUAGAAUUCCAGGUGUAGCGGUGAAAUGCGUAGAGAUCUGGAGGAAUACCGGUGGCGAAGGCGGCCCCCUGGACGAAGACUGACGCUCAGGUGCGAAAGCGUGGGGAGCAAACAGGAUUAGAUAUCCUGGUAGUCCACGCCGUAAACGAUGUCGACUUGGAGGUUGUGCCCUUGAGGCGUGGCUUCCGGAGCUAACGCGUUAAGUCGACCGCCUGGGGAGUACGGCCGCAAGGUUAAAACUCAAAUGAAUUGACGGGGGCCCGCACAAGCGGUGGAGCAUGUGGUUUAAUUCGAUGCAACGCGAAGAACCUUACCUGGUCUUGACAUCCACGGAAGUUUUCAGAGAUGAGAAUGUGCCUUCGGGAACCGUGAGACAGGUGCUGCAUGGCUGUCGUCAGCUCGUGUUGUGAAAUGUUGGGUUAAGUCCCGCAACGAGCGCAACCCUUAUCCUUUGUUGCCAGCGGUCCGGCCGGGAACUCAAAGGAGACUGCCAGUGAUAAACUGGAGGAAGGUGGGGAUGACGUCAAGUCAUCAUGGCCCUUACGACCAGGGCUACACACGUGCUACAAUGGCGCAUACAAAGAGAAGCGACCUCGCGAGAGCAAGCGGACCUCAUAAAGUGCGUCGUAGUCCGGAUUGGAGUCUGCAACUCGACUCCAUGAAGUCGGAAUCGCUAGUAAUCGUGGAUCAGAAUGCCACGGUGAAUACGUUCCCGGGCCUUGUACACACCGCCCGUCACACCAUGGGAGUGGGUUGCAAAAGAAGUAGGUAGCUUAACCUUCGGGAGGGCGCUUACCACUUUGUGAUUCAUGACUGGGGUGAAGUCGUAACAAGGUAACCGUAGGGGAACCUGCGGUUGGAUCACCUCCUUA
RNAcentral lists this ribosomal RNA (1542 nucleotides) under Escherichia coli. RNAcentral describes it as "bacterial SSU rRNA". It matches the Rfam family "Bacterial small subunit ribosomal RNA". Lineage: Bacteria; Pseudomonadati; Pseudomonadota; Gammaproteobacteria; Enterobacterales; Enterobacteriaceae. The record is from RNAcentral.